AUGGAGAGUCAGUCUCCUCACAGAGACGACAGCAAGAGUCAGAGACAGAGACGACAAGAGAAGGAGAAAGGGAACCACCAAGGCGAGAAUAAGCUCAUCCUUUGACUCAUCAUGUGGACUGUUCUUGUCCUCUUGACAGCUGGAUACAAAGCAGCGGCCUAUGACAACAAACUCAAUUCUGUGUUGGGGAAGUUCUGUGAUGAAGGCAACGUCGUGUCAGGGAUAGAAAGCGCCUACAAUGACGACAACAAAGAUCGCCAGUGGACGAUCGGAUGCAGGCCUCUUCUACCCGUUUCCUACUGCGUCUGGUCUGGGUUUU
This is a long non-coding RNA of Solea solea (common sole), 319 nucleotides long. RefSeq lists it as uncharacterized. The transcript has 3 exons. The record is from RefSeq and is a predicted model, not a curated record. Lineage: Eukaryota; Metazoa; Chordata; Actinopteri; Pleuronectiformes; Soleidae.